RNAcentral lists this ribosomal RNA (253 nucleotides) under uncultured bacterium. RNAcentral's name for it is "partial 16S ribosomal RNA". It matches the Rfam family "Bacterial small subunit ribosomal RNA", at positions 524 to 776 of the family's 1533-position model. The record is from RNAcentral.
UACGGAGGGUGCGACCGUUGCUCGGAAUCAUUGGGCGUAAAGAGCUCGUAGGCGGCUUGUCACGUCGGGUGUGAAAGCCCGGGGCUUAACCCCGGGUCUGCAUUCGAUACGGGCAGGCUAGAGUGUGGUAGGGGAGAUCGGAAUUCCUGGUGUAGCGGUGAAAUGCGCAGAUAUCAGGAGGAACACCGGUGGCGAAGGCGGAUCUCUGGGCCAUUACUGACGCUGAGGAGCGAAAGCGUGGGGAGCGAACAGG